Molecule: unclassified non-coding RNA, 245 nt
Filed under: Hevea brasiliensis (rubber tree)
Lineage: Eukaryota; Viridiplantae; Streptophyta; Magnoliopsida; Malpighiales; Euphorbiaceae
Source: RNAcentral
UGUGAUACUAUCAUCACUUUCGAUAGAUGAACAAGUUACUCAAUGCUUCAUCAGCCCCAUUAAUAGGCCUACUAAUCCCAUUGUAUCCCCUUCCCAUCCCAUAAAACCCUGUUUUCCUCAAUCUUGAUGGAUUGUCUGUAGAAUGUCUUCAACCAGUGAAGAGUCUCCUCGAAGAUGUUGAUAAAAUAUUGUAGCUAAAGAGCUAAUUCAUAAUGCUCAAACUCUGGUAAGCUGGUUUGAUUUGA